UCCCCAUCAUAAAAAUCCCUCCCGCAAAACACACACAAUCACCUCUCUCCUUUCCCACUAACAGUCCCUCCUACAUCCCCGCUCUCAAAGCACACGCGCCGCCGUCAAAAUGUCGGCUCCGACAAUUCCAAUCUCGAAUCCACAGUCGCAACCUCAAUCUCAGCCACCAAUAGCCACACCAGCACUCCGCGUGUUCCUCUCCCGUCUCUCAUCCUCAAUCCGCCAAGGCUUUUCCCAACGCCGUCCAUGGUCCGAAUUAAUAGACCGAACAGCACUGAUCCGACCCGAUUCAGUAUCUGACGCCGUUUCAAGGAUCCGCCGUAACAUAACCUACUUUAAAGUGAAUUACAUAACCUUACUCGGAUUCGUACUCGCUCUCUCACUGUUAUCUCAUCCGUUCUCACUCGUUGUUCUUCUAGUGCUCCUCGGCGGUUGGAUCUUCCUCUAUUUAUUUCGACCGUCGGAUCAGCCGUUAGUGAUUCUCGGUCGAACUUUCUCUGACCGUGAAACGCUAGGGAUUCUUGUCGUUUUGACUGUCGUUGUUGUUUUCUUGACUAGCGUUGGAUCUCUUUUGAUCUCUGCUUUGAUGAUUGGAUUAGCUAUUGUUUGUGCUCACGGUGCUUUUAGAGUUCCUGAGGAUCUGUUUUUGGACGAUCAAGAACCGGUUAAUUCCGGAUUCUUGUCGUUCCUCGGCGGCGCCGCUUCCUCCGCUGCUGCCGCGGCGGCUCCUGCUGUUGCUUCGCGUGUUUGAUUAAAUUCCGGUUUUCGCGUUUGAUAUGGUUCCAAUUCAUGAAUUGGGAGUCGAUGGCUCGGAUUAGCUUGCGUUGAUAACAAUUGCGUAAGACGAGAGGUCGUAAUCGUUUUCUAGAGAUCGAAUUAGAGCUAAUAGUUGGAAGCUAUUUUCGGCCACCACCUCGCGACUAACAACACAAGCAUUAUCAGAAUUUCUCUCCAUGAAUUCUUCAACCAGUAGCUCAUCUAAUCGGUUCUCGAUGAAGUCGUUAACACUUCGUUCGAUUCUUCUCACCGGAAUUCUCAACAAUGUUAUACUCACGUCAGGAUUUCUCGACAUCCUUGACGCUAGGGAUAAAGCUUCACGGUCAUCUGCCCCGCCUAGAAAAAUAACAGCAAUGUUGCAAGAGAACUGCUCUAAAUUCCGUUGAUUUAAUCCUUUGUCUACGAAGAGCCCAAUUGUACAAGAUGCAUUCAAUUGAAGCUGAAUAUUAAAAUCACGAAUUUGACUGCUUUCCAUACUAUAACCUUCUUGAUUUGCUUGGAACGGAACUAUGAUCAAAGGGAUGUGUUUAUCUCGAGCAUGGUUGCAAAUGAUGUUGUGCAUAGUUCUAUAAGGAGCAAUCAUAGUGAAUGGUCGUAUCGAGACAGGACCUCGUGAGUUACGCGAAUAAUUCACAAAGGCACGCAUAAUGUGAUAUGUGCUAUUAGAUUGAAUUCUCUGCAUCUUCUUGUUGUAUUGAGCUAGCAAUGGAGCUGCUCGCCCGACAAGCUCAAUGGCAUGAAUCACAUAGGCGAAAAUGGGGCUAGCUUCACUUGGGUUGGAGGCUUCUAAUAUAGUAAUAAUGCCGCGGACAUUGUCUUGAGAAUGAACGCAGGCAAGAACACGUAGCUCUUUGAUAUGCGACGCUAGUUGGAGUGUUCUGAAACGUUGUGCCUCAGGAGCCAAGUUAAGUAGUCUUUCUUUAGGUUUAUACCAAAUGUCCAAUACAAUAUUGUAGAUGAUAGUCUUAAAAAGGCUUGACAAUAUUAGUGCAGUAUACACGCCAUUAUCUUGAACCUGCAAAUUGAAAUCGAUGGUUGAAAUUAUUAUUUGUU
Molecule: RNA transcript, 1830 nt
Organism: Mercurialis annua (annual mercury)
Lineage: Eukaryota; Viridiplantae; Streptophyta; Magnoliopsida; Malpighiales; Euphorbiaceae
Gene name: PRA1 family protein B3-like
Exons: 3
Source: RefSeq, a predicted model, not a curated record